Molecule: transfer RNA, 62 nt
Filed under: Dipodomys ordii (Ord's kangaroo rat)
Lineage: Eukaryota; Metazoa; Chordata; Mammalia; Rodentia; Heteromyidae
Rfam family: tRNA
About the family: Transfer RNA (tRNA) molecules are approximately 80 nucleotides in length.
Source: Rfam by way of RNAcentral
GGGAUGGUGGCUCAGCGGUAGAGUGCUUGCUUUGCAAGCAUGAGGCCCUGGGUUUCAUUCCU